GGAGAGAUGGCCCAGUGGGUAAGAGCACUGGAGCUCUUCCUAAGAACCUGGUUUCAAUUCCCAGUGUCUCCA
Molecule: transfer RNA, 72 nt
Filed under: Mesocricetus auratus (golden hamster)
Lineage: Eukaryota; Metazoa; Chordata; Mammalia; Rodentia; Cricetidae
Rfam family: tRNA
About the family: Transfer RNA (tRNA) molecules are approximately 80 nucleotides in length.
Source: Rfam by way of RNAcentral